Molecule: non-coding RNA, 98 nt
Organism: Earliella scabrosa
Lineage: Eukaryota; Fungi; Basidiomycota; Agaricomycetes; Polyporales; Polyporaceae
Source: the annotation of a GenBank genome assembly
GCCCGCCUAGCUCAAUCGGAUAGAGCGUCAGACUCUUAUGACCGAUAGGUUUAGUGGGAUUGAUCUGAAGGCUGCGAGUUCGACCCUCGCGGUGGGCU